GGGGAUGUAGCUCAGUGGUAGAGCACAUGCUUUGCAUGCAUGGGGUCCCGGGUUCAAUUCCUGGCAUCUCCA
Transfer RNA from Oryctolagus cuniculus (rabbit), 72 nucleotides. It matches the Rfam family "tRNA". From Rfam's summary of the family: Transfer RNA (tRNA) molecules are approximately 80 nucleotides in length. The record is from Rfam. Lineage: Eukaryota; Metazoa; Chordata; Mammalia; Lagomorpha; Leporidae.